Long non-coding RNA from Oryzias melastigma (Indian medaka), 1062 nucleotides. RefSeq lists it as uncharacterized. The record is from RefSeq and is a predicted model, not a curated record. The transcript has 3 exons. Lineage: Eukaryota; Metazoa; Chordata; Actinopteri; Beloniformes; Adrianichthyidae.
AAGUGAUCCAAGAUGAAGACUUUAGAUAUUUCUGAAAUAUAUAUAAAAUAUUUUCAUGAUUUUUAUGAUUUAACUCUGUCAUAAAAACACAAAUCACUAAAAUAACAUUAAACUGUUCAUGUGAAAGAGUUUCAUCCUCCCCCGUCCUUCUGCAGUAAUGGAAUAUUCCAUCCAUUACUGCAGAAGGACGGCAGGUUAGAGAACAGAGAGACUUUUUAGAACAACAAAACAUCUGUAAUCCAGCUGCUAUGAAAAAAGGAAAAGACAAGAAAAAAUACUGAUAAAUAAAUCAGUGACACUCAAGCAGAAGAUAAAGAAAGACAGGAAUGAGAAAAGGGAGGGAAAGAAAAUGGUCAUUUUGAGGAUUAUUUCAUUAUUCAUUUUAUGUUUGUUUAUUUUGUUUACUUUCCUGACAAUUUAAUUUGUUUCUGUUAGAAAAUGAAUAAUUAACAAAUGAGUUCAUUCAAUAAAUUCAAUGUUUUAUCCAAGUAAAAAUAAUGUUUGUAAAAUAUAAAUUGUUUAACAUUUAAAUGUGAUUUUUGUUUUUCAGUUUCUUUUUAAAUCAUUUGGAUUCUUGACAUUAAUGUUAUCUAAAGGUGAAGAAGUUAUUCUUCAGAUAUUUUACCCUUUAGAUACAGAUUUUCAUAAAACAUUGAAGAUGGUUCCAUGUUCUUGUUCUCCUGAGAUUCUCCACUGGACAGCAGCAGAACUCUCAUUGGCUCCAGAUGAUCUUGUAGUUGAUAAUUCUGGGCACGUCCAUCAGAAAUGAUUCAUCACAAUAUUUGUCGGUAAAGAAACAGUUUAUCUGGUUCAUGGAAACAAAACCUUCAGUCUAAAGUGAUGCUGCAAACUAUUUCAAUGAAGACAGUUUGUUUCUAUUUGGUUUGAUCUCAGUGACGUGGGGGGGCUCUGGCUCCUGGGGUCAGGAAGUAGACCACCAGCUGACAGGAGAAUGCGUGAAGCCCUCUUAGCUAAACUCCUCUGGAAUUGGGUCUGGAGCAGGAUCAGGAACAAAUAGGGGUGCCGGAGCCUAUCCCGGCUACUGAUGGGCGAAGGCGGGGU